Long non-coding RNA from Aethina tumida (small hive beetle), 485 nucleotides. RefSeq lists it as uncharacterized. The transcript is spliced from 4 exons. The record is from RefSeq and is a predicted model, not a curated record. Lineage: Eukaryota; Metazoa; Arthropoda; Insecta; Coleoptera; Nitidulidae.
UGAUGAUGUUGAACACAAAUUGAUGUCAGUGAAACGGGGAAGAAUAGACGUAGGUCGAUGAAACAGUCCCAAAUGAUUCGGAGUGUUGAGUUUGUAGGUCUCUUAAUUUCUGAAUCUUGCAUUAUACCUCCAGAAGACAACCGUCCGGAAAGUGACUUGACCGUCUUGAACCCACCGGUUCUCCUCCAUCCAUCUUCGUACAGUGACAAAAGGCAUUUAAUCGGAGAGAAUUAAAAUUAAUUAUACAUACUGUUGAUUUGGCACAGGAUUAAGUUUAAAGCUGAAUUUGUAUAUAAUUACAAGGCAAAAUCUAUAACAAUAAGCCUUUACAAUACGAUAUUUCAUUUUACAAAGCUGUGAUUGUUGUGCAAAUGACAACAUAUGCUUCAGAUUACUAUUAUUGGUAAUUGUACCCCAAUAUAAGAUUGUCCACCAAGAUGAUAUUACGUGAUCUUAGUCUAAUAGUUUUAUAUUUAUUUUCUUAU